CAGUGCAACGGGACCGCGAUUGCAGCUGAGUGUACCCGAGUGUUUGAAGGACCAGAGUCUUUACUAACGGACAGAUGAAAAGCGGAACGAGUAGUGGGUACCUCACUACGUCUGGAUGCUGGACCGGGGAGAAAACUGUCACGGCUCACAGUCUCCAUCCUCCAACGCCUGCACUGCUUCUCCCUCUCAGUUGGAAGACAGAACCAGUGUGCAGGCUGGAAUGCUUUGGCAGAUCCCACAAGAUGCAUGAUGUGGAUGUUUGAGGCUGACUAAGACAGAGGACUGCCAGAGAAAGAUAAGAGAAUGCCCUGCCCUCCUCCCAUAUACAGCCAUCUGUUAUCAUGUGACUGAAGUUUCAUAAGUGGGCCAUUUAACGACACCUGUGCAAGUUCCAUUCACCGAUGAAGACUGUGAGAUGCAGUAAAUAAAUAAUCUAGUACACAAAGUACCCAGCAGUUUGUGAACUGUACAAUAAUGCACAACAAUGCAAUAAAGAAUUAAGUUACCAUUGGUU
Molecule: long non-coding RNA, 514 nt
Organism: Scatophagus argus
Lineage: Eukaryota; Metazoa; Chordata; Actinopteri; Scatophagidae
Exons: 3
Source: RefSeq, a predicted model, not a curated record